RNA transcript from Poecilia latipinna (sailfin molly), 1312 nucleotides. RefSeq lists it as uncharacterized. The record is from RefSeq and is a predicted model, not a curated record. NCBI's taxonomy places the organism in Eukaryota, Metazoa, Chordata, Actinopteri, Cyprinodontiformes, Poeciliidae. The transcript is spliced from 5 exons.
AUAAGGUCACAGAAUCACAGCAAUCUUCUGUUGGAUCACCAGAAAACAAUGCUUUUCAUUUAUUUACUCCUGAUGCUCAAAGAUGGUCGUUGUAAAGAUAGUCCCAUUAUUGAAACAAAGACUGUAAAUGUUGGAGGACUUGUGAAGAUGACAUGCUCACGCAAGUCUGCUGGAGAAAUAAUUUGGAUGAGGAUAGAUUCUCAAAAUUCUCCUGAAAUUCUUGGGAAAACUGAGAAAAUGUAUCCUCAUAUUAAAUUUGAGACAGAUCCUGGAAUAUGGGUGUUAAAGAUAAUUAAUGCAAGUCUAAAUGAUUCUGGAAUUUAUUUCUGUCUCAGAAAAUAUCAGGAAAACAAGACAUUUAUGAAACUGACAUAUCUGACAGUUAAAGAAUCUGCUGUCACCACAGUCCCCACAUCUGUUCCAGCCCAUCUCCAUGACUCAGUGACUCUCCAUUGUUCAGUCCUCCGUGACUCUCAAAAUAAAUCAUGUCCUGAAGAUGAAAAUUUCCUCUGUUUUAGAGAUGAAUCGAUUCAGACUUUUCCAGGUUUCAACUCCACUGACAUUACUGAGGAAAGCGGAUUCAAAUUUAACUCUGAAGGAUGUUUCUACAGCUAUUUCAAGAACUUCAGCUUGUCUGAUGCUCAGAUGUAUCACUGUGCUGUGGUAAAGGAUGACAAGAACACAUCUAUAGAAAAAUCAAAGAAUAUCACUGAAGAAAACAAAGGAGAUUCAAGAAAUUACUAUACAGUUGCCUGUCUACUGAGUGCUGCGUUGGCCAUCUGUCUGGCUAUUAUAGCCUUCCUCUUAUACGUAAUUAUAGAAAUUAAUAAACAGUUAAAAGGUUCGCGCAAUGGUAAGUAGUCUCAAAUACUGAUGUAUAAAAAAUGAGCUGGAAAACUUGACCAAACUUUUUAAAUGGUUUUUUUUUUUUUUUUUUUUUUCAACUUAGACACAGUUGCACUCCACGUACAUGAACCAACCAAAGGAAAUCCAGAAAGUCAGAAGUCACAUGAGGACUUGAUUUAUUCAUCAGUUUCAACAAAAAGAAAAGCCAGCAAAAAAAGAACAGGGGCCACAGCAUCUGAAGAGCAAGACGUCAUCUACACAGAAGUUAAUGUUCUUGGGGUGUGAAAAAGCUAAUUUAUACAUUUCUGAUUAUUAUCUAAAGACUAAUUUUAAAAUGCACUUUAUUUUUUUGCAAAAAUGUAUUGAUAUUUUGUAUGUCUGUACUGUUAUUCUGCCCUCAUUUGCUUAAAAGAAAAAUAUGUCUGUACUUGUAUAAGCUCUUAGUAAAUAAAAUACAUAAAAGUAA